ACAAGUGACCCCGGUCUAACCACCGGGAUGUUCAUAACCCUUUGUUGUCCGACUCUGUUGCCUCCGGGGCGACCCUGCCUUCGGGCGGGGGCUCCGGGUGGACACUUCAAACUCUUGCGUAACUUUGCAGUCUGAGUAAACUUAAUUAAUAAAUUAAAACUUUUAACAACGGAUCUCUUGGUUCUGGCAUCGAUGAAGAACGCAGCGAAAUGCGAUAAGUAAUGUGAAUUGCAGAAUUCAGUGAAUCAUCGAAUCUUUGAACGCACAUUGCGCCCCCUGGUAUUCCGGGGGGCAUGCCUGUUCGAGCGUCAUUUCACCACUCAAGCCUCGCUUGGUAUUGGGCAACGCGGUCCGCCGCGUGCCUCAAAUCGACCGGCUGGGUCUUCUGUCCCCUAAGCGUUGUGGAAACUAUUCGCUAAAGGGUGUUCGGGAGGCUACGCCGUAAAACAACCCCAUUUCUAAGGUUGACCUCGGAUCAGGUAGGGAUACCCGCUGAACUUAA
Molecule: ribosomal RNA, 502 nt
Filed under: Cladosporium sp.
Lineage: Eukaryota; Fungi; Ascomycota; Dothideomycetes; Cladosporiales; Cladosporiaceae
Also listed under: 1 other name
Description: eukaryotic LSU rRNA
Rfam family: 5.8S ribosomal RNA (bases 158-311)
Source: RNAcentral